UACAGAGGGGGCAAGCGUUGUUCGGAAUUACUGGGCGUAAAGGGCGCGUAGGCGGCCCGUUAAGUCGAACGUGAAAUCCCCAGGCUCAACCUGGGAACUGCGUCCGAUACUGGCGGGCUUGAAUCCGGGAGAGGGAUGCGGAAUUCCAGGUGUAGCGGUGAAAUGCGUAGAUAUCUGGAGGAACACCGGUGGCGAAGGCGGCAUCCUGGACCGACACUGACGCUGAGGAGCGAAAGCCAGGGGAGCAAACGGG
Molecule: ribosomal RNA, 253 nt
Filed under: uncultured bacterium
Lineage: Bacteria
Description: partial 16S ribosomal RNA
Rfam family: Bacterial small subunit ribosomal RNA
Source: RNAcentral